This 440-nucleotide ribosomal RNA is filed under the name uncultured bacterium. RNAcentral's name for it is "partial 16S ribosomal RNA". It matches the Rfam family "Bacterial small subunit ribosomal RNA", at positions 338 to 795 of the family's 1533-position model. The record is from RNAcentral.
CCUACGGGAGGCAGCAGUGGGGAAUAUUGCACAAUGGGGGAAACACUGAUGCAGCGACGCCGCGUGAAGGAAGAAGUAUUUCGGUAUGUACACUUCUAUCAGCAGGGAAGAAAAGGACGGUACCUGACUAAGAAGCACCGGCUAACUACUUGCCAGCAGCCGCGGUAAUACGUAGGGGGCAAGCGUUAUCCGGAUUUCCUGGGUGUAAGGGGAGCGUAGGCGGCGAUGCAAGUCAGAAGUGAAAGCCCGGGGCUGACCUCCGGGACUGCUUUUGAAACUGUAUGGCUAGAUUGCAGGAGAGGCAAGUGGAAUGCCUGGUGUAGCGGUGAAAUGCGUAGAUAUUAGGAGGAACACCAGUGGCGAAGGCGGCUUGCUGGACUGUAAAUGACGCUGAGGCUCGAAAGCGUGGGGAGCAAACAGGAUUAGAUACCCGAGUAGUC